This is a long non-coding RNA of Felis catus (domestic cat), 2533 nucleotides long. RefSeq lists it as uncharacterized. Lineage: Eukaryota; Metazoa; Chordata; Mammalia; Carnivora; Felidae. The record is from RefSeq and is a predicted model, not a curated record. The transcript is spliced from 5 exons.
UUCCUGGAAGUGGAGCAGCUAUCCAGUAGCCCAAACGUGGUGCAUCAUAUGUCCAGACGAAGUGAUUGUUAUGUUCCUUGACCAUUCCCUGGCCAUGAUUUACCCAAGCACCUAAAAAGACCACAAAGGCUGGUUCGGAGAUGGGCAUGAAAAUUCUAUAACUGCAGUGAAUCCAAGAGCUUGUGCAAUUGCUACUGGGAAAAGAAUCUCUUUCCAUUGGACUUCAACCUGUGUGUCAAGUCAGAACACCUACACUCUCUUCUUGCCACUCUGAAGAUAAACCUGAAUCUUUGAAUUAAAAGCUAGAGUUUUGUUCAUCAUUUAACAAAUAUUUAUAACAGAGCCCCUAUUGGCACCACCUACUCAUCUUGGUUCCAAAGACACAUUGAGAGCUUGCCCUGGUGAGGGCCUCGCCUGCUUGCUGGACCACGGAAUGCCUUUAGGCAGAGUCACAGAUGUGUGCAGGAGGAAACACAGGCCCAUAACAGAGGAGGGACAGUCAUCUUGCUGGAGCACCAAUAGCAUCGGCUACAAUAGGUCACACAAGGCACCUUUAUCCUGGAGACCACUUGAUUCUACUGCCCAGAAUUUCUUCAUCCUUUUUGGGUUUUACUCUAGGAAACCGCAUACCGACCAUUUUAGCCCAUUUGAUUCACUUGGGGUUUCAUUUCUGUAACACAAGCUAAUGGUGCAGGCCAGAAUGGGCUGGAACCAAUCCAAAUGUCAGGUAUUCAAUUGAUAAAUGUUAUCUCAUGUUAAUAACUUUGAAUUGACUAUCCCUUAAUAUAACUUACAAAGUGAAAAUUCAGUGAUAGUAUUGAUAUUUCUGUAAUCAAUGUAUUUUUAACAAUUCAAGGGUCAACUCUUAAAUCCUUGAAACUUAUCAGAAAUAUCAGCUAUUGCUUUGGACUUUAAGGUUGCUGACAAAGACAAAAGCAAUCAGUUCAAUUAUUAGAAUUUUUAAAGUGUCAGUUUCUAAAUAGUUAUAUCACAAAACAUGACAAAAAUGUAACAUAAUUUUCAAAAUCAGUGUACUGUUUACAUAUGAAGCUAGAAAAACUAAUACCUGGAAAGUAAGAGAUAUAACUAAAAACAACAUAUUUAUAUUAGUCUUCUUUGGUUAAAUUGAGGGUAUAAUCUAAUACCUUCUGAUCACUUUACAAGUACUAUCUACACCUUACUCUGUUAAAAUACCUGCCUUAAAAAAGUGCUGUGGAAAUAUUUCACAUUAAUAGAGGCUGAGACAUGAAAACUGAAUGUAACAUUUGACCCUAAACUGGAGUGACAAAAAAAAAAAAAGCACCAGUGGCCAAAAUCGGAAUUUGGAUGGUAAGUUAUCCUAUCAACAUUAAAUUGGCUGAACUGUGUUGUGGCCACUUAAUAUCCCAAAUCUUAGCAAGUGCAUGCUUAAAUAUUUAGAGGUAAAAGGCCACGAUGCAUGUAACUUACCUUCAAAUGGUUCAGAAAAAAAGUAUGCAUACCCAGAGCACAAAUACACAUAUAGUAAAGCAAAUGGAAUAAAAUGUUAUCAAUAGCUAAAUUUGAGUAGAGGGUAUACAGGAGUUGUCUCUUAUCCUUGCAACUUUUCUAUAUUUUGAAAUUAUUUCUGCAUUUGAAGUUAUUUUCAAAUAUAAAGUUAAAAAUAUACAUGUGCCUUAAUUAUGCUGAAGCCCCAAAUUUCUUAUAACUGAAAACAUGUGCACUAAGUAAAAUGUCUGUCUGAGCCUCUCUAAGGUUUUGUACAUUCCUGAAGUUUCUAAUUUCUCCUGCUCCCUUUUUAUCACAAGCACACACAAACCUAACACAUUUUCAUUGUACAAACUGAACACCUUUCUGAUCAAAUCCUGGAAGAAAAAAUAUCAAUGUUUUAUGGAAGUUGAGAAGUGAGGAUGUGUAUCUUCCAAGGAAGGAUUUAUCAUCUGCAGAAACACCCCUCCUUUCCUGCUUAGCUUUUCAAUGGGUCAACUCUUAGGACACUGAGGUAGUAAAAGGAAGCUAUCUGAGAACUCAAGAGAGCCCACAGUGUUCUCAUGGAGAUAUAGACAGUAUCUCCCAGAUAAAUGCUCACCAUUGCUUGGUAAAAUGCAAAGGAGUGGCAUAUGGACAUGUUCACACUAAUCUAUUUCAUAUAUUCUGGAGGAAAUUACAAUUUGUAAUGGGGUUUGAAGAAGACAGUAUGAAGUAGGAAUGUGUCAAAACACAACCUUAACAAGAAGGUGCUGCUGAAGAGGGACUGUUUUUACUAAGGUCCCAGCAGCAUAACGUGUAGCCUUUCUCUAUGGUAAAUGGUUCCUAUUUACUUUUCAUCCUUCUGCACACCAUGCCACAUGCACCCAUCCUGCCAGGCAGAGCAAACUUGCAACUCAAAAUUCUAUUGAAUCUAUUAGAUUUCAAGAGUAAGAUUCUGGUAAUUUCCUCAGUAAAUUAAUCACACGCUGGUUUAAUUUUUUUUCCAAAUAUUUUCUUUAAUAUUUUUGAAAUAAGAUAACUUCUGAGGGGUGCCUGGGUGGCUCAGUCCAUUAUCAGACUUUGG